GUGCCCACUUGGACAGCACAUGGACUACAGUAUGAAAGACGCAGACACAACGAGCAUGGUUCCUGCACAAGGGUGACACACAAAAUCAUCAAGUGUUCAAUCUAAAA
This 107-nucleotide small nuclear RNA is filed under the name Mesocricetus auratus (golden hamster). The record is from RNAcentral. Lineage: Eukaryota; Metazoa; Chordata; Mammalia; Rodentia; Cricetidae.